UGGGGAAUUUUGCGCAAUGGGGGAAACCCUGACGCAGCAACGCCGCGUGAAGGAAGAAGGUUUUCGGAUCGUAAACUUCUGUCCGAGGGGAAGAAAAAAAUGACGGUACCCUUGGAGGAAGCCCCGGCUAACUCCGUGCCAGCAGCCGCGGUAAUACGGGGGGGGCAAGCGUUGUUCGGAAUUACUGGGCGUAAAGGGCGCGCAGGCGGUCUGAGAAGUUCUAGGUGAAAGCCCUCGGCUUAACCGAGGAAUGUCCUAGGAAACCAUCAGGCUAGAGUGCUGGAGAGGGGAGUGGAAUUCCCGGUGUAGCGGUGAAAUGCGUAGAUAUCGGGAGGAACAUCGGAGGCGAAGGCGACUCCCUGGACAGACACUGACGCUGAGGCGCGAAAGCCAGGGGAGCAAACGGG
This 407-nucleotide ribosomal RNA is filed under the name uncultured bacterium. RNAcentral's name for it is "bacterial SSU rRNA". It matches the Rfam family "Bacterial small subunit ribosomal RNA", at positions 355 to 776 of the family's 1533-position model. The record is from RNAcentral.